GCUGCUUCUCAUUAUUAAUAUUUGUCUGUCUGUAAUUCUCCAAGGAAGAAAUACCAAGAUUUGCUUGUCCUUCAUCCGUUCCUUCAUCAGAAAUCACAUUCCUCACCUUAUUUGAAACCGAAAACUGAUCGUGAGAAGCUAUCUCAGAAGUUAUAUCCACAUUUGAUGAGGACAACCCAUCAGAUUGUUCACUUUCUUUUUUCUUUCUGAAUAUUCCCGGCUUCCUAAGCAUAGCAGCCUCAAUUGCAACUUUUAACUUACUACCUUGGCUCACGUCCUCCCUAACAGUUCUAGCAGAAGGUGUAUCCAUACCAGAAGCCCAAGGAGUAACAAAUGUGCAAAAUUCUGUAGCAUGCCCAAUUUCCUUG
RNAcentral lists this unclassified non-coding RNA (368 nucleotides) under Hevea brasiliensis (rubber tree). The record is from RNAcentral. Lineage: Eukaryota; Viridiplantae; Streptophyta; Magnoliopsida; Malpighiales; Euphorbiaceae.